Non-coding RNA from Gasterosteus aculeatus (three-spined stickleback), 72 nucleotides. The record is from Rfam. Lineage: Eukaryota; Metazoa; Chordata; Actinopteri; Perciformes; Gasterosteidae.
UCCUCGUUAGUAUAGUGGACAGUAUCUCUGCUUGUCACGCAGAAGACCAGGGUUCGAUUCCCUGAUGGGGAG